RNAcentral lists this ribosomal RNA (405 nucleotides) under Triticum aestivum (bread wheat). Its description in RNAcentral is "partial small subunit ribosomal RNA". Lineage: Eukaryota; Viridiplantae; Streptophyta; Magnoliopsida; Poales; Poaceae. The record is from RNAcentral.
GGCGGCCCCAGGAAGAAGGCGGUGGCGCGGUCCGUCAAGGCCGGGCUGCAGUUCCCCGUCGGCCGCAUCGGCCGCUUCCUCAAGAAGGGCCGCUACGCGCAGCGCGUCGGCAUGGGCGCCCCCGUCUACCUCGCCUCCGUCCUGGAGUACCUCGCCGCCGAGCUUCUGGAGCUCGCAGGGAACGCCGCCAAGGACAACAAGAAGUCCCGCAUCAUCCCGCGCCACCUGCUGCUCGCCAUCCGGAACGACCAAGAGCUCGGCAAGCUGCUCGCCGGCGUCACCAUCGCGCAUGGCGGCGUGCUGCCCAACAUCAACCCCGUGCUGCUCCCCAAGAAGACGGCCGAGAAGGACCCCAAGUCGCCCAAGAAGGCCCCCAAGUCCCCCAAGUCCCCCAAGAAGGCUUAG